RNAcentral lists this ribosomal RNA (254 nucleotides) under uncultured bacterium. RNAcentral's name for it is "partial 16S ribosomal RNA". It matches the Rfam family "Bacterial small subunit ribosomal RNA", at positions 524 to 776 of the family's 1533-position model. The record is from RNAcentral.
GACGAACCGUGCGACCGUUAUUCGGAAUCACUGGGCUUAAAGCGCGUGUAGGCGGGUCGGUGCGUCGGCCGCUGAAAUCCCCCGGCUCAACCGGGGAAGGGGCGCCGAUACGACCGGCCUGGAGCGACGUAGGGGGGACUGGAACUUCCGGUGGAGCGGUGAAAUGCGUUGAGAUCGGAAGGAACGCCCGUGGCGAAAGCGAGUCCCUGGACGUCGGCUGACGCUGAGACGCGAAAGCCAGGGGAGCGAACGGG